Non-coding RNA from Candidatus Magnetomorum sp. HK-1, 354 nucleotides. It matches the Rfam family "transfer-messenger RNA". From Rfam's summary of the family: Bacterial tmRNA, also known as 10Sa RNA or SsrA, is named for its dual tRNA and mRNA-like properties. Its role is to liberate the mRNA from a stalled ribosome. NCBI's taxonomy places the organism in Bacteria, Pseudomonadati, Thermodesulfobacteriota, Desulfobacteria, Desulfobacterales, Candidatus Magnetomoraceae. The record is from Rfam.
GGGGGCGAAACGGCUUCGACGGGGAUAUGGAAGCACUGGCUGCAUAUCGAGCUUCUAUCACUCGUAAAACGGUAGAACCUAAACAUAAUCGCAGAUGAUUAUAACUACGCCCUGGCUGCUUAGACAGCCAGCGUCCUAUCCAUUUAUUCCUGCGGACUGGAAUAGGGCGCCGAUUAGCAGGAUAGUUUAAUAAAUGCGCCUGUAGGUUUAUUAAGCGAAACAAAUUACAGGAUGGCGAUGUAAAAAUUUUGUUUGGAGAAGCUUUACAUUGCGACAAUUAAAAUUCAAACUAUGUAUGUAGAUGCCAUUGUGGAAUAUUUUCGGACGCGGGUUCGACUCCCGCCGCCUCCACCA